AUCUGGUCAACUGUCAGAAAUGCCCUCCCAAGUCUCACCUGGUUUUUACCCCACCUGGGACCUUUGGUAGGUAUAUCAUUACUACUAAUUUGUGGCCCUUGCUUGUCUAACCACUUAGUAAAGUUUGUGUCUUCCAGAUUGCAACACUUCUACAUCAAGAAAAUGUGGCAAUAAGGCUGCCAAACCCUCCUGUCUUCUGAACCGAAUCCUUGUAGAUUCUGGAUAUCGCACCUUCAUAGGAAUAUUCUGAGAAUAUUUUCUCCUAUUCGCUUCCAGGAGCCGUCGUAGCAGCCGAUUAGGACUGGCUGCUGGUGUGGUGAUGACCUAGAGGGCUUCUCCCAGGUAAGGUGAGAAGAGGGAUCCACUCACUGCAAGAGGCUGCAUAAACUUAACCCAACACUGUAAAGGCUCUCCUCAUGAACAAAGCAUUAGUAGUCUAGAUAAAAU
Molecule: long non-coding RNA, 447 nt
Filed under: Homo sapiens (human)
Lineage: Eukaryota; Metazoa; Chordata; Mammalia; Primates; Hominidae
Description: non-protein coding lnc-POLN-1:3
Source: RNAcentral